RNAcentral lists this microRNA precursor (111 nucleotides) under Spinacia oleracea (spinach). Its description in RNAcentral is "mir-399 microRNA precursor family". It matches the Rfam family "mir-399 microRNA precursor family". From Rfam's summary of the family: mir-399 was identified in both Arabidopsis thaliana and Oryza sativa computationally and was later experimentally verified. mir-399 is thought to target mRNAs coding for a phosphatase transporter. The record is from Rfam by way of RNAcentral. Lineage: Eukaryota; Viridiplantae; Streptophyta; Magnoliopsida; Caryophyllales; Amaranthaceae.
GGACGUAUUACUGGGCAAAUUCGUUUUGGCAGAUGGUUUCUGAUCUGGUAAUUUACAUACAGUUCACAUCAUCAGCUCACUGCCAAAGGAGAUUUGCCCGGCAAUUCGGCC